This 248-nucleotide ribosomal RNA is filed under the name uncultured bacterium. RNAcentral describes it as "partial 16S ribosomal RNA". It matches the Rfam family "Bacterial small subunit ribosomal RNA", at positions 524 to 776 of the family's 1533-position model. The record is from RNAcentral.
UACGUAGGGUGCAAGCGUUAAUCGGAAUUACUGGGCGUAAAGCGUGCGCAGGCGGUGAUGUAAGACAGAUGUGAAAUCCCGGGCUCAACCUGGGAACUGCAUUUGUGACUGCAUCGCUGGAGUGCGGCAGAGGGGAUGGAAUUCCACGUGUAGCAGUGAAAUGCGUAGAGAUGUGGAGGAACACCGAUGGCGAAGGGCAGCCCCUGGGUCAAGAUUGACGCUCAUGCACGAAGCGUGGGAGCAACAGG